Nicrophorus vespilloides is the source of this 509-nucleotide long non-coding RNA. RefSeq lists it as uncharacterized. The record is from RefSeq and is a predicted model, not a curated record. NCBI's taxonomy places the organism in Eukaryota, Metazoa, Arthropoda, Insecta, Coleoptera, Silphidae. The transcript has 5 exons.
UAAGCAAACCUCCGAUGAUUGCGAACUGAUGGAUGUUGUUUGUGUGGAUGAAAUAGGUUUUCAGAUACACCGAAACUUUACCAAUUCGCUCCACUUAAUAUUUGCAUUUUACCCGAACGACGACUUUAUUUGUAUGCUAAUAUUUGCGGCAACGUCGAACGGUUUUUAAUCCGUUUGUGCAAUCGAAUUUUCACUGCAAAAAAAACUCAAAAACCGUUUGCAGUGAGAAAAAGAAGCUGGCCAAUAGUUAAAUCAUUGUAUUAUGUUGAUGACAAACAUUUAUACGAUCAAUUAAGUGAAUUAGCUCUAGUCGAUUGAAAUGGAAAAGGAUGUGGAAAGGAAAAAGCAUAUGGAAUUAACGAAUUACUAAUGUUACGUCUCUAAUGGGUCUCCCGCGAUUUAGCGACAAGACCGUCGCUGCCAACAACGAGCGAAACAACGAUUCUUUUGUUGAAAAAUUGUUAACUUACGAUGCAGUAGACGUGCUCCGACGAUGGACAAUUAAUCAA